Molecule: ribosomal RNA, 254 nt
Filed under: uncultured bacterium
Lineage: Bacteria
Description: partial 16S ribosomal RNA
Rfam family: Bacterial small subunit ribosomal RNA
Source: RNAcentral
UACGGGGGGAGCAAGCGUUGUUCGGAUUUACUGGGCGUAAAGGGCGCGUAGGCGGCCACCGCAAGUCAGUUGUGAAAUCUCUGGGCUUAACCCAGAACGGUCAGCUGAUACUGCGGGGCUAGAGUGCAGAAGGGGCAACUGGAAUUCUCGGUGUAGCGGUGAAAUGCGUAGAUAUCGAGAGGAACACCGGUGGCGAAGGCGGGUCUCUGGGCCGAAACUGACGCUGAGGAGCGAAAGCGUGGGGAGCAAACAGG